UAAUGAAUCUUCCGCAAUGCACGAAAGUGUGACGGAGCGACACCGAGUGAAGGAUGAAGUCUUUCGGGAUGUAAACUUCUAAAAUCUGCUAGAAAGUUCUGAUCGGCAGACUACAAGUGGCGACUAACUCUGUGCCAGCAGUCGCGGUAAUACAGAGGCCACGAGCGUUAGGCGGAAUCACUGGGCUUAAAGCGUGUGUAGGUGGAUGGGUAAGUACCUUGUGAAAUCCCACGGCUCAACCGUGGAACUGCUUGGUAUACUGCCUGUCUUGAGGCACUCAGGGGCGAGCGGAACAAAUGGUGGAGCGGUGAAAUGCGUAGAUAUCAUUUGGAACGCCAAUGGUGAAGACAGCUCGCUGGGGGUGUACUGACACUGAGACACGAAAGCCAGGGGAGCAAACG
RNAcentral lists this ribosomal RNA (401 nucleotides) under uncultured Tepidisphaeraceae bacterium. RNAcentral describes it as "bacterial SSU rRNA". It matches the Rfam family "Bacterial small subunit ribosomal RNA", at positions 355 to 774 of the family's 1533-position model. Lineage: Bacteria; Pseudomonadati; Planctomycetota; Phycisphaerae; Tepidisphaerales; Tepidisphaeraceae. The record is from RNAcentral.